UACGUAGGGGGCGAGCGUUGUCCGGAGUUACUGGGCGUAAAGGGUGCGCAGGCGGCGGUUCGCGUGGCGAGAUGAAAUCUCCUGGCUUACCUGGGAGAGUGGUCGCCAGACGGGAUCGCUUGAGGGUCGGAGAGGGGCGUGGAAUUCCGGGUGGAGCGGUGAAAUUCGUAGAUAUUCGGAAGAACACCAGUGGCGAAGGCGACUCACUGGACAUGUAUUGACGCUGAGGUGCGAAAGCGUGGGGAGCAAACAGG
RNAcentral lists this ribosomal RNA (254 nucleotides) under uncultured bacterium. RNAcentral's name for it is "partial 16S ribosomal RNA". It matches the Rfam family "Bacterial small subunit ribosomal RNA", at positions 524 to 776 of the family's 1533-position model. The record is from RNAcentral.